UACAGAGGUCUCAAGCGUUGUUCGGAAUCACUGGGCGUAAAGCGUGCGUAGGCUGUUUCGUAAGUCGUGUGUGAAAGGCGCGGGCUCAACCCGCGGACGGCACAUGAUACUGCGAGACUAGAGUAAUGGAGGGGGAACCGGAAUUCUCGGUGUAGCAGUGAAAUGCGUAGAUAUCGAGAGGAACACUCGUGGCGAAGGCGGGUUCCUGGACAUUAACUGACGCUGAGGCACGAAGGCCAGGGGAGCGA
This 248-nucleotide ribosomal RNA is filed under the name uncultured Akkermansia sp. Its description in RNAcentral is "partial 16S ribosomal RNA". It matches the Rfam family "Bacterial small subunit ribosomal RNA", at positions 524 to 771 of the family's 1533-position model. Lineage: Bacteria; Pseudomonadati; Verrucomicrobiota; Verrucomicrobiia; Verrucomicrobiales; Akkermansiaceae. The record is from RNAcentral.